Long non-coding RNA from Trifolium pratense (red clover), 663 nucleotides. RefSeq lists it as uncharacterized. NCBI's taxonomy places the organism in Eukaryota, Viridiplantae, Streptophyta, Magnoliopsida, Fabales, Fabaceae. The record is from RefSeq and is a predicted model, not a curated record. The transcript has 2 exons.
UGAUUAUCCUUUACACCUAAAGUUAGUUUUUACAAUUUAUUAUAAAUAUAAACUUCCAAUUGAGACAUUGAGUCACACCUUAAGAGAGCAAUUUUGUAACAAGUUGGCUUCAGAUGGGUGAAAAUUAUAAUUUUAGGGUAAUUACUAAUUAAUGUUCUGGUGGUCGUUACUAAUAAUCGUGAAAGGUAUUGUGUGUUUUGCUUCAAGGAAGACGAGGAUAUUCACCAUGCUUUUCUCAAGUGUAGUGUUAUCUCUAAAGUGUGGCUCAAUAUAUUCAAGUGGAUGGGCACAAACUGUUCCUAUUUUGUAGAUGUAUCGCAACACUUUUUUGCUUUUGGAAAUCUAGCAACAGGCAACAUUAAUAAGCGAUUACACCAUAUUAUUUGGUUAGCGACAACAUGGAGCAUUUGGCAAACGCGCAACAACAUAUUAUUUAGAGGUGCUUGUAUAGAUAUUGAUUCUUUAACAGAGCAAAUUAUUUACUUUUCAUGGUAUUGGUUUAUUGGUCGUUUAGGGAACAAUGCAAAUUUGGUUUUCUCAAAUUGAUGUAACAAUCCUUUAGCCUGUUUACAAUGUAUGUAAGGCGAUAGGCCGUGAAUUGUAAGGGUUGAGUACCCCUUAACUGAUGUAUGUAAGGCAAUAGCCUGUUUAUUGAGGGAAACA